UCGAACGAUGAUGCCCAGCUUGCUGGGUGGAUUAGUGGCGAACGGGUGAGUAACACGUGAGUAACCUGCCCCUGACUCUGGGAUAAGCGUUGGAAACGACGUCUAAUACUGGAUAUGAUCACUGGCCGCAUGGUCUGGUGGUGGAAAGAUUUUUUGGUUGGGGAUGGACUCGCGGCCUAUCAGCUUGUUGGUGAGGUAAUGGCUCACCAAGGCGACGACGGGUAGCCGGCCUGAGAGGGUGACCGGCCACACUGGGACUGAGACACGGCCCAGACUCCUACGGGAGGCAGCAGUGGGGAAUAUUGCACAAUGGGCGAAAGCCUGAUGCAGCAACGCCGCGUGAGGGAUGACGGCCUUCGGGUUGUAAACCUCUUUUAGUAGGGAAGAAGCGAAAGUGACGGUACCUGCAGAAAAAGCACCGGCUAACUACGUGCCAGCAGCCGCGGUAAUACGUAGGGUGCAAGCGUUGUCCGGAAUUAUUGGGCGUAAAGAGCUCGUAGGCGGUUUGUCGCGUCUGCUGUGAAAUCCCGAGGCUCAACC
This 540-nucleotide ribosomal RNA is filed under the name Curtobacterium flaccumfaciens pv. flaccumfaciens. RNAcentral's name for it is "bacterial SSU rRNA". It matches the Rfam family "Bacterial small subunit ribosomal RNA", at positions 62 to 614 of the family's 1533-position model. The record is from RNAcentral. Lineage: Bacteria; Bacillati; Actinomycetota; Actinomycetes; Micrococcales; Microbacteriaceae.